Long non-coding RNA from Triticum dicoccoides, 350 nucleotides. RefSeq lists it as uncharacterized. NCBI's taxonomy places the organism in Eukaryota, Viridiplantae, Streptophyta, Magnoliopsida, Poales, Poaceae. The transcript is spliced from 3 exons. The record is from RefSeq and is a predicted model, not a curated record.
AGCAAUUGGAGGGGCCACAGGAGGAGGAGGUGGAUGAGAACGAUGAGGCGCAGUCAGUGCAUCUCCCACCUAAUCGACGCCGACGCCACGGUCCUCGAGCAAAACAGGGUUUGGCAGUUAAUCCGUGUUACUGGAGAUUGAAGAUUUUUAGCAGGAUUUCUUGGGUCCGGUUAGCUGCCUACAAUCGUUGGUGUUGGAGAAAAAAAUCAACUAGUAGUGUAUUUUCUUUCAAGUCAUGUAACUCACUCUUAAAAAAAUACUUAUAGGGCUUUCUAGAUAUGCUCGUGAUGUUUUGAUAUUAAUGUUUUGAUAUUAAGCUUUGCUUUUUCAAAUCAGAUUAGAUUGUUGGA